This is an RNA transcript of Zingiber officinale, 1271 nucleotides long. RefSeq lists it as uncharacterized. The record is from RefSeq and is a predicted model, not a curated record. Lineage: Eukaryota; Viridiplantae; Streptophyta; Magnoliopsida; Zingiberales; Zingiberaceae. The transcript is spliced from 4 exons.
ACCCUUCUCCCAACUCCUCAUCUCAUGCGGCUUCUCCAUCCAACUCCUCUCCGGCCUCCAGAUCCGGGGCGUCAACAAGGCUGUGUACUCCUGGAGAAAUUGAUCGUCAGGGUUUCCGCGGAAGUAAUUUGGAGUCAACUAGCGUGAAAUACGAUUUUUUUUUCUCAUACCCGCACGAAGCCACUGCCUUGGGUGAUCUCGGCAACGGCCAGGGAGUUAGGUUUGGCAGCUCGAGGAGGGAGGGUAGAGACGGGAGAGGUGGCGGCGAGCGGGCAGCGGAGGAUGGUCGGUGAGCUCGGGAUGGACGUGCAGUGGCUCAGGGAGGGAAGGUGGUGGGAUUGAGAAGCAAGGCGAGCCUCGGGGUGGCACAGGCGAGCUUCAGAGGGCAGUGUGCAGCAGAGGCCUUUUUCCUCCUUCCAUUCUUUCCCUAUUUUCAUCCGAAUACACAACUUUCUCCCUCUUUUUUCCUCUCCCUCCCUCUCCCUUCCCUCCUUUCUCUCCUCCCCUCAUUUCUCUUCUUCCCCUUCUCUUCCUUUCUCCCUGAAUGCACACUGUGUAAGCAACACUAAGUUCAUCGCGGUCUUGAUAUUUUGUUUGUUAAAAUUAGAAAAUUGAAUAGACAAAUUAUCUCUCUGUUUUCAGCCUUUACAAUUGUUUCUUUGAUGAAUCAAUAUAAUUUGGCUUACUUCUUUUUCCAUCUUCUAUAUACUGAAAAUGGAAAAGGAUUCAAGUUUCUCACGAGGAAGUGAAAUGUCUCUACUGGAGCAAUUUGAAGGUAUAUUGGAAGGAGAUAAACUCAUUGAUGAAAUAGGUUUCUUGGGCCCAUCUCAGUUUGCUUCACUAGAUCAGGAUUUAAGUGGUUCUUCUCUUGACCAGUGCACUCCUAUUCAGUUGGCUGAUUGCAUCUGCUCAGGAAAACUCUGAUCACCUUCUUGAAGAUGAAAUUCUAAAACACACGAAGGCCUUACUGAUUUUAAGCUGCAACUUCAGCAGUGCUUGGAAUGACAGGUGGAUACAGGACAGUCGAGAUCAGUACACUAAGGAGCGUCUGGAUUCAGUAAUUGAUCAGUACACUAAGCGUCUGGAUUCAGUAACUACUGUACUAUUUUGAGAAAACAGAUUGUUGGCUACUUCAGUAUUCAGUAUUCAGUAAACUGAUUGUUAGCUAAACAGAUUGUAGCUGUUCAAAACAGAUUUUUUGUGCUCUUUUGUUUUAUAUGUGAAUAUCACUAUAUACUUUGAAACAGAAUUAGUGUUAAUUUUGAUAUUUA